UUUGGGAAAAUGAGGACGUAGUCAAAUAGUUUUGGAGGGGCCCCUCCCUCUCGCUGC
RNAcentral lists this transfer RNA (57 nucleotides) under Globodera pallida. RNAcentral's name for it is "tRNA-Pro". The record is from RNAcentral. Lineage: Eukaryota; Metazoa; Nematoda; Chromadorea; Rhabditida; Heteroderidae.